This 733-nucleotide ribosomal RNA is filed under the name uncultured marine archaeon. RNAcentral describes it as "bacterial SSU rRNA". It matches the Rfam family "Archaeal small subunit ribosomal RNA", at positions 24 to 762 of the family's 1478-position model. The record is from RNAcentral.
CUACCGCUAUUGGAGUUCGAUUAAGCCAUGCGAGUCGAGAGUCCUCGGGACUCGGCGUACCGCUCAGUAACACGUGGGUAACCUGCCCUAUGCUGGGGAAUAACCUCGGGAAACUGAGAAUAAUGCCCCAUAGCCCACUACGCCUGGAACGGUGAGUGGGUCAAAGCCCCGGCGGCAUAGGAUGGGCCUGCGCCGUAUCAGGUUGUAGGGGGUGUAAAGUACCCUCUAGCCAUCAACGCGUACGGGUGUUGGGAGACAUUGCCCGGAGAUGGAUUCUGAGACACGAAUCCAGACCCUACGGGGUGCAGCAGGCGCGAAAACUUGGCAAUGCGAGAAAUCGUGACCAGGGAACUCCAAGUGCGUAGGGUAAGACCUACGCUUUUCUUGACUCUUCAAAGGUCUUGGAAUAAGGGGUGGGUAAGGACGGUGCCAGCCGCCGCGGUAAUACCGGCGCCUCAAGUGGUAGUCGCUUUUAUUGGGCCUAAAACGUCCGUAGCCGGUCUGGUGCAUUCGUGGGCGAAUCAACCCGCUCAACGGGUUGAAUUCUGCGAGCACGGCCAGACUUGGGACCGGGAGAGGUGUGGGGUACUCUCAGGGUAGGGGUAAAAUCCUGUCAUCCUGAGAGGACCACCUGUUGCGAAGGCGCCACACUAGAACGGAUCCGACGGUCAGGGACGAAACCUAGGGGCACGAACCGGAUUAGAUACCCGGGUAGUCCUAGGUGUAAACGCUG